Molecule: ribosomal RNA, 253 nt
Filed under: uncultured bacterium
Lineage: Bacteria
Description: partial 16S ribosomal RNA
Rfam family: Bacterial small subunit ribosomal RNA
Source: RNAcentral
UACGUAGGCAGCGAGCGUUGUUCGGAAUUACUGGGCGUAAAGAGUGUGUAGGCGGUGUUCCAAGUUCGGUGUGAAAUCUCCCGGCUUAACUGGGAGGGUGCGCUGAAGACUGGAAUGCUCGAGCGUGGGAGAGGAAAGCGGAAUUCCUGGUGUAGCGGUGAAAUGCGUAGAUAUCGUUUGGAACGCCAACGGUGAAAACAGCAGGCUGGGGAUGUGCUGACGCUGAGACACGAAAGCCAGGGGAGCAAACGGG